This 253-nucleotide ribosomal RNA is filed under the name uncultured bacterium. RNAcentral describes it as "partial 16S ribosomal RNA". It matches the Rfam family "Bacterial small subunit ribosomal RNA", at positions 524 to 776 of the family's 1533-position model. The record is from RNAcentral.
UACAGAGGAGCCAAGCGUUGUCCGGAUUUACUGGGCGUAAAGCGCACGUAGGCGGGUCGUUAAGUCGGGGGUGAAAUCCUGGAGCUCAACUCCAGAACUGCCUUCGAUACUGGCGACCUAGAGUCCGGAAGAGGUGAGUGGAACUCCUAGUGUAGAGGUGGAAUUCGUAGAUAUUAGGAAGAACACCAGUGGCGAAGGCGGCUCACUGGUCCGGUACUGACGCUGAGGUGCGAAAGCGUGGGGAGCAAACAGG